CGCCCCACUUCCGUAUCUGUGCACUGUAAUAUUACUAAGGGAUUAAGUUAAUCCCUUAGUAAUAUUACUUUUGUAUUAUACAAGAUAUGUUGAAAACAUGCCAAGGAAAGAAGAAAAGAGGCAGGAACAAUUACUAACGUUUAAUUCUAAUCCUAGUUCAUAGCAAGUAUUUAAUAAAGAUCAGCUUGGGCGGGUGACUACGAACUGAGGAGAAUGGGAGAGUACACCAGGAGGGAAACCACAGUGAAAAAUACAGGAAGCCUGAUCAACAAGGCAGGAUACAGAGAGUACAACAAAAAGAAGAAAAUGCAGGUCAGUAUGGGAAAGAAUAUCAGGAGUGAGACUUUAAAAUAAUAAAUGACAAGCCCGUAAUCCAGGGCCUGCAUUAUUUUCUUACUGGACCAGACAAAUUUUUUGUUUUUAUUUUGGGGGUUGGGAGGGUGAACAGCCACAACCCACUAAGAGGGUUAUAUGAUACAUAUCUUAAAAGAAAAUGUGGUGGUGAAUUUGUUAAUCUCGGAUUUUUCCGCUUAGAGACACGAGGGCUUAGUGACAAGCGCUUGAUUCCCCCCAAGCUCGGCAAGAUAUAUAAUAUUAUUAUCUUGGGUUUUUCAGAUCAUCUUGGCAAUUCAGGACCUCUUUUAUUACAUUUGUGGACUAGACAAAUUUUAAGAAUUGGAACGACUAUUUUUUAGUGAAUCUACAA
Long non-coding RNA from Macrobrachium nipponense, 706 nucleotides. RefSeq lists it as uncharacterized. The transcript is spliced from 4 exons. The record is from RefSeq and is a predicted model, not a curated record. NCBI's taxonomy places the organism in Eukaryota, Metazoa, Arthropoda, Malacostraca, Decapoda, Palaemonidae.